This is a non-coding RNA of Pogona vitticeps (central bearded dragon), 791 nucleotides long. NCBI's taxonomy places the organism in Eukaryota, Metazoa, Chordata, Lepidosauria, Squamata, Agamidae. The record is from RefSeq and is a predicted model, not a curated record.
AGGAUUCACUCCUACAAGUAGGAUUCUCCAGAAAUUGAAUCUAUGGUCUUCUUCUUCUUCAAUCACCUCAGUGUCUUCCUGGACUCUCAGCUUACCUGACAUCUUGAAGACUCCUCACCACCUCAAGGUGUUCAUCAAAGAAGGUGGCAGAAGCAUUACUACAAGGCUGAACAUCUGCUCAGCAUGCCAUCUCAUCAUGGAAGUGGUUACACUGGUUGCUGGUUGAUGAAGAAUAAUUCAGUAUAAGCUGCUCAAGGAUCUGUUAAGACUAAUGUUACAUAUACAGCUGCAUUCAUAUGCACAUGACAAAUAUUCUCAGGCAAUCUGUAAUCAUUUUAUGGGGCACACACAGAAAGGAGGAAAAAAAAUACCCCAGUGGAUUGCACCCAGUCCCGGUUUUUAUAAUCUGGUAUCUACAAACAGGAACAUUUCUUUUCAUUGGAAAAUUUAGGAACAGGCUGGCUCUCUCUCUCUCCUAAAUUAAAAUGAACAAACAGACCUUUGUGUUCAUGUGGUGUGGAAGCUAACGAUCACACCUUCCUAUCCCAUGCACAGUACUGAAUGUGUCAAAGGGACAUUAAGCCUGCUGCCCCCUCCCAGUGCCCUCUGUUAUAAAAACAAAAAGAGAGAUAGAUUGAGAGAGAGACUCCACAAAAAUACUUGAUCUCUAGGAAGAAUGGUCACUGAAGGGGGCAGUUCUAGGAAAAGAGGAGCCGAAUGCAAAGCUGGAAAAAGUUACCAUAUUUUUCUAAGAUGCCACCGUUUAUAAGACACCCCCCCCCACUUUUCUA